AUACGGAGGAUCCGAGCGUUAUCCGGAUUUAUUGGGUUUAAAGGGAGCGUAGGCGGACGCUUAAGUCAGUUGUGAAAGUCUGCGGCUCAACCGUAAAAUUGCAGUUGAUACUGGGUGUCUUGAGUACAGUAGAGGCAGGCGGAAUUCGUGGGGUAGCGGUGAAAUGCUUAGAUAUCACGAAGAACUCCGAUUGCGAAGGCAGCCUGCUGGACUGUAACUGACGCUGAUGCUCGAAAGUGUGGGUAUCAAACAGGAUUAGAUACCCUGGUAGUCCACACAGUAAACGAUGAAUACUCGCUGUUUGCGAUAUACAGUAAGCGGCCAAGCGAAAGCGUUAAGUAUUCCACCUGGGGAGUACGCCGGCAACGGUGAAACUCAAAUGAAUUGACGGGG
This 393-nucleotide ribosomal RNA is filed under the name uncultured bacterium. RNAcentral's name for it is "partial 16S ribosomal RNA". It matches the Rfam family "Bacterial small subunit ribosomal RNA", at positions 523 to 918 of the family's 1533-position model. The record is from RNAcentral.